GACGAACGCUGGCGGCGUGCUUAACACAUGCAAGUCGAACGAUGAACCCGGAGCUUGCUCCGGCGGAUUAGUGGCGAACGGGUGAGUAACACGUGAGUAACCUGCCCUUGACUCUGGGAUAACUGCUAGAAAUGGUAGCUAAUACCGGAUACGACCCUCGGUGGCAUCACCAGGGGGUGGAAAGCAUUUCGGUCAAGGAUGGACUCGCGGCCUAUCAGCUAGUUGGUGAGGUAACGGCUCACCAAGGCGACGACGGGUAGCCGGCCUGAGAGGGUGACCGGCCACACUGGGACUGAGACACGGCCCAGACUCCUACGGGAGGCAGCAGUGGGGAAUAUUGCACAAUGGGCGCAAGCCUGAUGCAGCAACGCCGCGUGAGGGAUGACGGCCUUCGGGUUGUAAACCUCUUUUAGUAGGGAAGAAGCGAGAGUGACGGUACCUGCAGAAAAAGCACCGGCUAACUACGUGCCAGCCGCCGCAGUAA
This 484-nucleotide ribosomal RNA is filed under the name uncultured bacterium. RNAcentral's name for it is "partial 16S ribosomal RNA". It matches the Rfam family "Bacterial small subunit ribosomal RNA", at positions 28 to 523 of the family's 1533-position model. The record is from RNAcentral.